This 460-nucleotide ribosomal RNA is filed under the name uncultured bacterium. Its description in RNAcentral is "partial 16S ribosomal RNA". It matches the Rfam family "Bacterial small subunit ribosomal RNA", at positions 338 to 795 of the family's 1533-position model. The record is from RNAcentral.
CCUACGGGGGGCAGCAGUGAGGAAUAUUGGUCAAUGGGCGCGAGCCUGACCCAGCCAAGUAGCGUGAAGGAUGACUGCCCUACGGGUUGUAACCUUCUUUUAUGAGGGAAUACAGUGAGCCCCGUGUGCCUUUUUGUAUGUACUUUAUGAAUAAUGAUCGGCUAACUCCGUGCCAGCAGCCGCGGUAAUACGGAGGAUCCGAGCGUUAUCCGGAUUUAUUGGGUUUAAAGGGAGCGUAGAUGGGUUGUUAAGUCAGUUGUGAAAGUUUGCGGCUCAACCGUAAAAUUGCAAUUGAUACUGGCAGUCUUGAGUACAGUUGAGGCAGGCGGAAUUCGUGGUGUAGCGGUGAAAUGCUUAGAUAUAACGAAGAACUCCGAUUGCGAAGGCAGCUUACUAAACUGCCACUGACAGUGAGGCUCGAAAGUGUGGGUAUCAAACAGGAUUAGAUACCCCAGUAGUC